This 263-nucleotide long non-coding RNA is filed under the name Elaeis guineensis (African oil palm). RNAcentral's name for it is "long non-coding RNA (EGUI_LNC039201)". The record is from RNAcentral. Lineage: Eukaryota; Viridiplantae; Streptophyta; Magnoliopsida; Arecales; Arecaceae.
CUUCUCCUUCUUCUCAAGCUCUGCCAAUAAAGCAUUGAUUCUUUCUAGAGCCCUCUAUUCCCUCGCUCACACUAUCUAUAGGUCUUCCUUGAUUUUAGUUAACUGCUCUUCUAGCCUCACACAAUUCCUCUUAGAUUUCUCAAGAUCCUCAUAUGUGAUGAGCUUCUGGACCUCUGACUCCCUGUGCUUCUCCUCCAGCGAAGCACUCCACCUCUCAGUGAUGGCCUCCACCUGGGCAUCCAAGCUCUUAUAUUUCACAUCCA